This 220-nucleotide unclassified non-coding RNA is filed under the name plant metagenome. RNAcentral describes it as "partial contains small subunit ribosomal RNA, internal transcribed spacer 1, and 5.8S ribosomal RNA". The record is from RNAcentral.
UUUCCGUAGGUGAACCUGCGGAAGGAUCAUUACCGAGUUCAAACCCUCACGGGUAGAUCUCCCACCCUUGAAUAUUUAUACCUUAGUUGCUUUGGCAGGCCGUGGAAACACCAUGGGCUCCGGCAUAUGCGUGCCUACCAGAGGAAACAAACACUAUAUUUGGUGAUGUCGGAGUACUGUAUAAUAGUUAAAACUUUCAACAACGGAUCUCUUGGUUCUG